This 255-nucleotide ribosomal RNA is filed under the name uncultured Actinomycetales bacterium. Its description in RNAcentral is "partial 16S ribosomal RNA". It matches the Rfam family "Bacterial small subunit ribosomal RNA", at positions 78 to 334 of the family's 1533-position model. The record is from RNAcentral. Lineage: Bacteria; Bacillati; Actinomycetota; Actinomycetes; Actinomycetales.
UUUUGUGGGGUGCUCGAGUGGCGAACGGGUGAGUAACACGUGAGUAACCUGCCCUUGACUUUGGGAUAACUUCAGGAAACUGGGGCUAAUACCGGAUAGGAGCUCCUGCUGCAUGGUGGGGGUUGGAAAGUUUCGGCGGUUGGGGAUGGACUCGCGGCUUAUCAGCUUGUUGGUGGGGUAGUGGCUUACCAAGGCUUUGACGGGUAGCCGGCCUGAGGGGGUGACCGGCCACAUUGGGACUGAGAUACGGCCCAG